UAUAUACAUAGCUAUUCAGGUGUCUAUUUUAAUAGGCUUAAUAGGGAACUUGGUGAAAAUCCAAGACUGCCCCCGCAACUGUAAAUGUGGACGAAAUGACAUAUAGACCACUGCAUAAUUGGCGCUCGAUAGAGUAGUAAUUAUGUGGGAAGGGUCAAAGUAGGGUGAAGCAUGAGUCAGGAGACCUGCCUGAAUUUCUAUUUUCAA
This 207-nucleotide non-coding RNA is filed under the name Aneurinibacillus migulanus. The record is from RNAcentral. Lineage: Bacteria; Bacillati; Bacillota; Bacilli; Caryophanales; Paenibacillaceae.